Molecule: long non-coding RNA, 553 nt
Filed under: Mytilus galloprovincialis (Mediterranean mussel)
Lineage: Eukaryota; Metazoa; Mollusca; Bivalvia; Mytilida; Mytilidae
Source: RNAcentral
UGUGGCUAGGGUGAAGGUUUAAGAUUCAAAAUGAUGGUUGAUGUCUAGCCAAAAGGAUAGUUCUAUUAUAUAGUAGUGUUUACAUGCCUAUUUUUUUUUUUAUGAAGGAUCGUCAAUAUGUACUAUUAAUUAAGUUAAACGUAUAUAUCAAUCAGAACGGAAUAGGAUAUGAUAAUACCAAACAGGGUGUAUUGCUUAAUUAAAGGGAUAUGCUGAUCUACGCUGGGCAAUGCAUAUUGUAAAUAUUUUUUUAUAUCACGAAUUGUACUGGGUUAUUUAAUUCACCAGUCAGAUGUUAUGGUGCAUUAUUCAUAAUUCUUCGAACUUUUCAUCAUGUAUAUUAUAAUUAUCAUGAUUAAAUAACCAGUAAAUUUAAUAUUUUUGUACAUAAAAUUUUGCAGCUAAAACGCUGAAAACCGUUUUCCGUCGGGGGGGGCAAAGCCCCCCUGAACCCCUUACCAGGGCUCUGCCCUUGACCUGUUGGGAGCCUUAAGCGGCCACCGACCCCCUGCCGAUUGGUGCCUACAGUUGACUGAAUACCUAGCUACGCCCC